Molecule: long non-coding RNA, 2582 nt
Organism: Dreissena polymorpha
Lineage: Eukaryota; Metazoa; Mollusca; Bivalvia; Myida; Dreissenidae
Exons: 5
Source: RefSeq, a predicted model, not a curated record
UAGAAAUUCGCCAGAGAAAAUAAAUUUUACUGUGUCGCUGAAGAAAUCAACGUCUUUAGCACAAUAUAUGCGAAUCAUCCCAAAUGCUAUGUUCAGAAACAGUGAAGUACCAUGGCUGAACCAGAUCCUGUAACAGAAAAGAAAGUACAACAGUACACGACUGUGAUUGUCAUAAGCUGUAUGCCAAGGAUGUCCCUGGCGCUGUUUUACCGCAACUUCAACCAGAAAGAUGCAAAGUUACAGAGUUGCGAAUAUGGUUGAAAUGCCGGGGACAAGCUGUGAAAUCGAAUGAGACAAAAGCCGAACUUUGCUUGAGGGUAAAGAAAUUCAGUGACAACCAGGAUAACAUCCUAAUUGUGGAUCCUUAUCCAGACCAGCCAUUUGCAGCUAAGCAGAAGUCGUCCUGUAUGAACUGUCAAGGACAAUCAACAGUGUCAACAGCGGAAGAACAUCUUAAUUUGGAAGAAUGCACAUGGACCCAAAGCACCAGACCGAUCUUCAAAGACUUUUCGUACAUGAACAUUCUGGAAUGGACCAAAAGUUCUGGUAAAGGUUCAAAACUGGGUGUUGAAAAGCCUAUUCAACGAGGCUAUGUGUUUUUUCAUGACGGUUAUGUAUUCGACACAUGGACAUCUGAACGUAACAGUUCAACAAUUGUUAGAUGCAAGUGUUUCCGCUCCAUGAAAAACCGGUAAUCAGAAAUAAAGAGUAUUGAAAUAAUCUAAAUUAUAUUUGAAAGUAUUCAAUUUUGUGUUAUUUUAGUGUCAGUAUUUGUGAGAUUCACCUCAAAUCACAUUUAUUCAUUCAAUAUAAUCAUAGGAUCUCAGCUCAUUUUGGUGCAAUACCUGUAUCUGAAUGUUUGUAAUUUUCAGAUUGUGUUUCCUUAAAUUAGUUUAUGAUUUCUAGCUUUCACAUGUUGUCUUUCAUCAUUAAUCUUACAAUUAAUGAUACUUCAUACUGUUUUGUGAUGAACUAUGCUACUCAAAUGUGCUUAUCUUGCAUUAUUUCUGUUGUAAUAAAGCUUAUAUCAUUGAUUACAAAGUGUUUUUACUCAAAGGAUUACGCAAAUCUGUAGCAGAGUCUUAGUGAAAUAGUUGCUAUGGUGUCUGCUAAGCAAUCUGGAGCAACCAGUUUCGAUCCCCAUUGAGAAUCAGUAAUGGUUCUUCCCAGGAAACGAACUUAAGUACUGAUUUGUCUCAAUAUGCAUUGGACUUUCUUAGUUUUACCUAAUAUUUCCCAAAAAAAACUAAAAUUUCUAUUAACAAAAUUAUUUAUUCAGUAGUCAUACAAUCAAAACAAAUUAACAAACAUGAUUAAAAAGAUGUAUAUACAAUUUUUAUGUAAAGGCCACACACCUUAUUUGGCAUAGUAAAUUUAAGUAUGAGUGACAUAUUUUAUCUAUGCCAAUUAGAAUAUAUCUGGUGGUUACAAGGUAGAAAUCCAUCUUUUUUGCACUUUACAACUUAAAAAUAAUCGCGUUUGUCGAAAUGGAUGUGUACGUCUGGAAAUCCUACUUUCGGUUUUAAAAGCAGUACUGUUUGAAAAAAAAAAAUAACUUGCUAUUAAACUAGGCUAUAGAUUUAAUUUUAUUAUGCCAACUAGAAUAUAUCUGGUGGUAACAAGGUAGAAAGCCAUCUUUUUUUGCGCUUUAAAAAGUUAAAAAUAAUCGUGUUUAAUAUAGAAAUCCUUCUUUCAGUUUUAAAAGCAGUUAUUCCUGUUUGAAAAAUAAUAAAUUACUUGCUAACUAGACUAUAGAUUUAAUGAAAAUUUUGCACACUUUCAAAUUGCAUCUAUAUGAACAUGUACUUUAUUUCAAGGUGUGUAGCUUUAAGUACUCUUUAAGCAUUAAUCUGUAACUAAAUCAAUGCUUAUAUCAAGAUAAUUAUCAAAAACUUUAUACAAAGCCAAAAAAUGUACAAAUAUUACAUGAACAGCCAAUGGUUUUUCAUUAGCCUACAUGUAGUAUGAUGUACACGAACAACAAAUGUUCAUAUAAAUGGUAUGUAUGUUAAACACCAGGACAUGGUAUAAUUGGGUCUUGGAAAAGAGUGAGCAAUGAGCAAACUGUCCAAAUUUGAUUAAUUAUCCCAAACAGAGAAACCAGAAUGACCUGAUCAAAUAUGUGAAAACUUUUAAUCUUGUUAAUUGCACGUUCCACUUGAAUUCGCUUCAACAGAUGUGGUUUGUCCUUCCAGCAGUCGAAUAGUGUAGGGAUGGCUCCUGGUUUUAGAUACCUCCGCUUAGCAAAUCCAGAUUCAUCAAGACAGUCACGUUCAAAAUGGAGAAAACAGACAACCGUAUUGUGACUUAUCUGAAAGAAAAAAAAAGAAUAAAUAAAUAUGUGUGCUUUUUUUGAAUCACAUGAACACUAUUUUUCUGACAUGAAAAUGUAUAGUACUUUACAUGUUUUAUUUUUCUUUAUACAAAAUCAUUUAAAUUUUACUGAAACCACUAACAACUGACCUUAAAAUGUCUGUCUUCAUCUCUUCGUAUUUUAUUCAACCAAACAGCUUGAACUGGAUCAUCUUCAGCUGGAAAUGCAUGAUAGCUGGGCUUUCCAUGGCCUUCUAACAAUCCUUAGC